RNAcentral lists this ribosomal RNA (496 nucleotides) under uncultured bacterium. RNAcentral describes it as "partial 16S ribosomal RNA". It matches the Rfam family "Bacterial small subunit ribosomal RNA", at positions 28 to 506 of the family's 1533-position model. The record is from RNAcentral.
GAUGAACGCUGGCGGCGUGCCUAAUACAUGCAAGUCGAGCGAACGGACGAGAAGCUUGCUUCUCUGAUGUUAGCGGCGGACGGGUGAGUAACACGUGGAUAACCUACCUAUAAGACUGGGAUAACUUCGGGAAACCGGAGCUAAUACCGGAUAAUAUUUUGAACCGCAUGGUUCAAAAGUGAAAGACGGUCUUGCUGUCACUUAUAGAUGGAUCCGCGCUGCAUUAGCUAGUUGGUAAGGUAACGGCUUACCAAGGCAACGAUGCAUAGCCGACCUGAGAGGGUGAUCGGCCACACUGGGACUGAGACACGGUCCAGACUCCUACGGGAGGCAGCAGUAGGGAAUCUUCCGCAAUGGGCGAAAGCCUGACGGAGCAACGCCGCGUGAGUGAUGAAGGUCUUCGGAUCGUAAAACUCUGUUAUUAGGGAAGAACAUAUGUGUAAGUAACUGUGCACAUCUUGACGGUACCUAAUCAGAAAGCCACGGCGAACUACGU